GACCCCGCAGCGUCGUGGCUAGAGUAGGGUCUGGAGAGAGCUCCCACUGUGGCGAGUCCUGUCGUUGGAUUCCCGCGGCGCCCCGUAAGGCUCCGCCCCGGCGGUGCUACCAAACCCUGUUCGAUUUUAGAAUCGUACAUUCCCAGAGGGAAUCCUAGACCCCUCAUUUUACAGUUGAGGAAACAGGCCCAAGUAGCAUGACUUGUUCGCGCCGCUAGUCGAAGGAGCAGCAGCCCCGAUCCCUUGACUCUGGGGCACUGCUUUCCCUUUAGCUCAUUUUUGGAGGAAAUGGGUGCGCCCUUGCUCGACCUUUGGUGAUUGCCGCCACAGGCCUUCCCGCCGGCUAACUCAGCGUGCCCAAGUCCCGUGACUUAGUGCCAGGACGGUGCUGUGACCCGUUAUCCCCUGUCGGGUUUUACCUCCCCCCGGGAGAGCUCAGCCCUGGAUCCCGGCGGGCGGCGGAGCCUCUCUGGAGCCCGGACGGGACAGCCCACCAGGGUCUGCUUCUGUGAGGGGCCGAGGCGUCAUUCCGCGAAGGAAGCUGCUGGAAGGUACACAUCUUGGGAGUUUGCCCUUUGAAGCUCACCUGUGGACCUUUUUUCCUUUCGAAAAGAAGCAUAAGCUGCAAUAAAAAUUUGGUUUCAAGAUAACAAAGUCAGUCCCCAAAAAUCAGUAUUGAGAGUCACUGACAUUAAAUGAUGAAGAUACGAGGAUGGUGUGGGGACCUUUACUCUUCGAAGAUGAGCUAUACAUGCCCCUGAAAAGGCUGUCUGAAGACAGGGGAAGGCUGGAGAUGGCAACUUUGGCCUCUGCCAAGUACUCGUGCUAUUUUCUGUAUGUGAUACUAUCUGUUUUGUAACUCAGAGGCAACACCACAUACCUAGCAUAAGGCUUGAACUCCCUUUGGGGUUAUCAAUUACUUACAUAGCCUUCCUCUAAGGGAAGGCUUGCAAGUGGUUCAUAUUCGACCCUUCCAUGUGAUAAGCAUUCAUGUGGGCUUCACAAUGUAACAGAGGUACACAGAGAUUCUUGUAAACAGAAAAUUUUAUAAAACUGUUAACUGAUCUCACUUUGAAGAAGUCUUACUGACUAGAUGUCAUUUAUCAGAGUAGACAGGCUUAAAAUGCAUUGCUUGUACUAGACUGUUGUAAUGCAUUUUUUUGUUUUUGCAUUGGUUUUUAAUUCAUUUAAUUGGUUUACACUCAUUUUUUUUUUUACAUUCCAUUUUUGCAUUUGUAUGCCAGUUAAAAAUUAUGAAAUGGCACAUUGUGGGAUUUUGUUUAGCUAAAUUCUAGAAAAAUUGAAAGAUACCUUUUAUUCGACUUAAGCCUGAGGUUAUUCAGCACGGUGAUCUCUGCAUUUUUGAAAGGUUGUCUCGUCGUUUAAUAAACGUAAAUAACUUAAGCACAUUGGAAGAGCUAUUAAAUGAGAGCAGGAGAUUAAAAAGACAUGAUUUCUUACUUUAUCCACCUGACAGGAUAGCUUGCAUUGGUGAUUAACCUUGCAUUGUUAAAUUCAUUUCCUAAAUAUUUAGGUAAGUAGUUGGUUUGAUCAUUAUUUGUAAAGUAUUAGUAGUUGCAUGUUGAAUUAUCAUGUUAAGAUUUUUAGUUUGUUGUUCAUGUGAUAUGAAAGAUAACAAUUCCUAAAACUGAAUGCAUGCAUGGCUUAUUCAGCUCAGGUCACAUACAAAGAGAAAUGUGACGCUGCAAUAAACAUAGCAGAGCUAUCUGGGUUUGAAGCAAAAAGGCUAUGACGUUAGGUAUAUGCACUUUACAUUGUAUGUAUCUUUUUAGUUCUAGUGAACUCAUCUGGAAUCAUGUUACAGAAAAUGAUUCUCCAGGUCCAAACACAUUUAAGUUUAAUGACUGGGACUACUCUAACAAUUGCGGCUAUCUCAUUUUGUCUCAUUGGUUCAUUAGCAUAGCACCCAUUUAAGAACAACUACUUCUAAACACAGUAAUAUUUCAGAGGCUAUAAAAUAAUAGAGAAAGAAAACUUAAAAAAUCCUUUGUUUGCAGCCAAGAAAAUGUGAGGAUCAGAUUUGUACUUGUUUUGAACAAUUGGAAACUGUCACAAUUGUUUUUAAGAUGUAAUAAAUGUAUAUAAAAUAUGGGAUUCUAUAGUAU
Molecule: long non-coding RNA, 2126 nt
Filed under: Homo sapiens (human)
Lineage: Eukaryota; Metazoa; Chordata; Mammalia; Primates; Hominidae
Description: HSALNT0337618
Source: RNAcentral